AUGAACAACAUCCUUCAUAUUCCUGGACUGACUGAUACUACAGUGCCUCGCCGCCUGGGCCCCAAAAGAGCUAGCAGAAUCCGCAAACUUUUCAAUCUCUCUAAAGAAGAUGACGUCCGCCAGUAUGUUGUGACAAAGCCCUUAAACAAAGAAGGUAAGAAACCUAGGACCAAAGCACCCAAGAUUCAACGUCUUGUUACUCCACGUGUCUUGCAGCACAAACGGCGGCGUAUUGCUCUGAAGAAGCAGCGUACUAAGAAAAACAAGGAAGAGGCUGCAGAAUAUGCUAAACUUUUGGCCAAAAGAAUGAAGGAGUCUAAGGAGAAGCGCCAGGAACAAAUUGCGAAGAGACGCAGACUUUCCUCUCUGCGAGCUUCUACUUCUAAGUCUGAAUCCAGUCAGAAAUAACUUUUUGAGUAACAAAUAAAUAAGAUCAGACUC
Molecule: RNA transcript, 441 nt
Organism: Rhinopithecus roxellana (golden snub-nosed monkey)
Lineage: Eukaryota; Metazoa; Chordata; Mammalia; Primates; Cercopithecidae
Gene name: 40S ribosomal protein S6 pseudogene
Exons: 2
Source: RefSeq, a predicted model, not a curated record